UAUCCGUAGGUGAACCAGCGGAGGGAUCAUUAUUGGAUUUUGAAACUUCAGGCUGCUGGUGAAUCACACCGGAGGGCUGGUGCACGCUUGUUGCGCAUCAUGUCUCCCACUGUGCACAAAUCGUAGACCUGCCAGAAGGCCUAUGUUGUUUUUUACAAUCUUUGACUGGAAUAGAUUGGUUUUUAAACUUAGGAAAUAAAAUACAAAUUGCAGCAAAGGAUCUCUUGGCUCUCCCCUCGAUGAAGACCGCAGCAGAUCGGAAGAGAAAACGGCAGAACC
RNAcentral lists this unclassified non-coding RNA (279 nucleotides) under plant metagenome. RNAcentral describes it as "partial contains small subunit ribosomal RNA, internal transcribed spacer 1, and 5.8S ribosomal RNA". The record is from RNAcentral.